AACCUCUGCAAUGCGGGAAACCGUGACAGGGGGAUCCCAAGUGCUCAUGCAUUGCAUGGGCUGUUCUUUGGUCUAAGUAACCAGAGGAGUAAGGGCUGGGCAAGACCGGUGCCAGCCGCCGCGGUAAUACCGGCAGCUCAAGUGGUAGCCGCGAUUAUUGGGCCUAAAGCGUUCGUAGCUGGAUAAGUAAGUCUUUGGUUAAAUCCUGCGACUUAACCGUGGGAAAUCUAGAGAUACUGCUUGUCUUGAGACCGGGAGAGGUUGGAGGUACUCCCAGGGUAGGGGUGAAAUCCUGUAAUCCUGGGGGGACUACCUGUGGCGAAGGCGUCCAACUGGAACGGGUCUGACGGUGAGGGACGAAACCUAGGGGAGCGAGCCGGAUUAGAUACCCGGGUAG
RNAcentral lists this ribosomal RNA (397 nucleotides) under uncultured archaeon. Its description in RNAcentral is "bacterial SSU rRNA". It matches the Rfam family "Archaeal small subunit ribosomal RNA", at positions 345 to 744 of the family's 1478-position model. The record is from RNAcentral.